AUCAGGAGAUGCCACGUAAAUG
RNAcentral lists this non-coding RNA (22 nucleotides) under Arabidopsis thaliana (thale cress). The record is from RNAcentral. Lineage: Eukaryota; Viridiplantae; Streptophyta; Magnoliopsida; Brassicales; Brassicaceae.